UGUGCGUAUCUGUCUUUUGGGACAUCUUGGU
Molecule: non-coding RNA, 31 nt
Filed under: Mus musculus (house mouse)
Lineage: Eukaryota; Metazoa; Chordata; Mammalia; Rodentia; Muridae
Source: RNAcentral